This 66-nucleotide transfer RNA is filed under the name Planorbella duryi. RNAcentral describes it as "tRNA-Leu". Lineage: Eukaryota; Metazoa; Mollusca; Gastropoda; Planorbidae. The record is from RNAcentral. RNAcentral also lists the same sequence under 1 other name.
UUUAACUUGGCAGAACAAAAUGCAUUUGAUUUAGAAUCAUUAUAUAAUAUAUAAUAUUAGUUGGUA